ACAAUUCUUCGGGGCAGGGUGUAAUUCCCUACCGACGGUAUAGUCCGUGACCCGCUUUGCGGUGGAUUUGGUGAAAUUCCAAAACCGACAGUGAACGCAGCAUAGCUGCAAAGUCUGGAUGAGAGAAGGAAUUG
This 134-nucleotide non-coding RNA is filed under the name Clostridiales bacterium CHKCI001. RNAcentral describes it as "FMN riboswitch aptamer (RFN element)". It matches the Rfam family "FMN riboswitch aptamer (RFN element)". From Rfam's summary of the family: The RFN element is a highly conserved domain that is found frequently in the 5'-untranslated regions of prokaryotic mRNAs that encode for flavin mononucleotide (FMN) biosynthesis and transport proteins. This element is a metabolite-dependent riboswitch that directly binds FMN in the absence of proteins. In Bacillus subtilis, the riboswitch most likely controls gene expression by causing premature transcription termination within the 5' untranslated region of the ribDEAHT operon and precluding access to the ribosome-binding site of ypaA mRNA. The record is from Rfam by way of RNAcentral. RNAcentral also lists the same sequence under 1 other name. Lineage: Bacteria; Bacillati; Bacillota; Clostridia; Eubacteriales.